AUGCACGCCGGAGGCGUGCCUCAUCCCUGCCAGUCGAGCGAACAGACGAGGAGCUUGCUCCUCUGACGUUAGCGGCGGACGGGUGAGUAACACGUGGAUAACCUACCUAUAAGACUGGGAUAACUUCGGGAAACCGGAGCUAAUACCGGAUAAUAUAUUGAACCGCAUGGUUCAAUAGUGAAAGACGGUUUUGCUGUCACUUAUAGAUGGAUCCGCGCCGCAUUAGCUAGUUGGUAAGGUAACGGCUUACCAAGGCAACGAUGCGUAGCCGACCUGAGAGGGUGAUCGGCCACACUGGAACUGAGACACGGUCCAGACUCCUACGGGAGGCAGCAGUAGGGAAUCUUCCGCAAUGGGCGAAAGCCUGACGGAGCAACGCCGCGUGAGUGAUGAAGGUCUUCGGAUCGUAAAACUCUGUUAUUAGGGAAGAACAAAUGUGUAAGUAACUAUGCACGUCUUGACGGUACCUAAUCAGAAAGCCACGGCUAACUACGUG
This 496-nucleotide ribosomal RNA is filed under the name uncultured bacterium. RNAcentral describes it as "partial 16S ribosomal RNA". It matches the Rfam family "Bacterial small subunit ribosomal RNA", at positions 29 to 507 of the family's 1533-position model. The record is from RNAcentral.